Molecule: ribosomal RNA, 478 nt
Filed under: uncultured bacterium
Lineage: Bacteria
Description: partial 16S ribosomal RNA
Rfam family: Bacterial small subunit ribosomal RNA
Source: RNAcentral
GACGAACGCUGACGGCGUGCUUAACACAUGCAAGUCGAACGGUAAGGUCCUUCGGGGUACACGAGUGGCGAACGGGUGAGUAACACGUGGGUGAUCUACCCUGCACUUCGGGAUAAGCCUGGGAAACUGGGUCUAAUACCGGAUAGGACUCCGGACUGCAUGGUCUGGGGUGGAAAGCUUUUGCGGUGUGGGAUGGGCCCGCGGCCUAUCAGCUUGUUGGUGGGGUGAUGGCCUACCAAGGCGACGACGGGUAGCCGGCCUGAGAGGGUGACCGGCCACACUGGGACUGAGAUACGGCCCAGACUCCUACGGGAGGCAGCAGUGGGGAAUAUUGCACAAUGGGCGCAAGCCUGAUGCAGCGACGCCGCGUGAGGGAUGACGGCCUUCGGGUUGUAAACCUCUUUCAGCAUCGACGAAGCGAAAGUGACGGUAGGUGCAGAAGAAGGACCGGCCAACUACGUGCCAGCCGCCGCCGUAA